This 118-nucleotide transfer RNA is filed under the name Candidatus Woesearchaeota archaeon. Its description in RNAcentral is "tRNA-Ala". It matches the Rfam family "tRNA". From Rfam's summary of the family: Transfer RNA (tRNA) molecules are approximately 80 nucleotides in length. Their secondary structure includes four short double-helical elements and three loops (D, anti-codon, and T loops). Lineage: Archaea; Nanobdellati; Candidatus Woesearchaeota. The record is from RNAcentral.
GGGCUUGUAGCAUAAUCUGGUAAUGCGCCGCCCUUGCAAGGCGGAGAUUUCGGGUUCAAAUAUUAAUAUCUCAAGCAACAAUGCUUGGAAUGUCAAUGAGAAAAUCCCGACGAGUCCA